This 657-nucleotide long non-coding RNA is filed under the name Gossypium barbadense (sea-island cotton). RNAcentral's name for it is "long non-coding RNA (GBAR_LNC008650)". The record is from RNAcentral. Lineage: Eukaryota; Viridiplantae; Streptophyta; Magnoliopsida; Malvales; Malvaceae.
GGUUUUAAGGGUCAUAACCUGGUUCACUCAGUGGUAAUUGCUGAAGCAAUUGCAGUUCUUCACGGACUUCAAUUCGCCAUUGACAUGGGUUUUUCAAAAGUGGUCCUUAAGAGUGAUUCCAGGUUGGUAGUCCAAAAUAUUCAAAAGAGAAAUGAGGACUAUUCAGAAACCAGACCUUUUACCUGGGAUGUGCAGAAUUUGGCGAGGAACUUUUCUUAUUGUCAAUUCCAGUUUAUUGCGCGGGAAGGUAAUAAAGCAGCACAUGCAAUGGCGGCUAAGGGUUUGCGAGCCGAGGAGGACUUGCUGUGGGUUGAGGAUGCGCCUUUGAAAGCCAUGGAAGCGGUCGAUUAUGAUCGACGUUUCAGUCGACCACCAUAGUCUUUGCUUUGGUUUUGCUGUUUAGGUUGAGAAAUUCUGAAAUUUGGCUGACUGUCUCAACUAAUCUUCGUUCUCGGGGUGAUUUAUUACCGAGUUUAGGGGUUUUUUGCCGUUUAUUGGGAGGGUUCUUGGACAUGAGAAAAGCCUAAAAUUUGUUGGCUAGAGAGGAUGAUGUUUCUGUUUCCUUGUUCUUUCCGUUUUGUUUUUCUUCUUUUUGUUUUUGUUUAGUUCAUGUUGUGACUAUUUUUUGGAUCUUCUCCGGGUGGUUUUUUAGGCUUA